UAAUACGAAGGGGGCUAGCGUUGUUCGGAAUUACUGGGCGUAAAGCGCACGUAGGCGGGCUAUUAAGUCAGGGGUGAAAUCCCGGAGCUCAACUCCGGAACUGCCUUUGAUACUGGUAGUCUAGAGAUCGGAAGAGGUUAGUGGAAUUCCCAGUGUAGAGGUGAAAUUCGUAGAUAUUGGGAAGAACACCAGUGGCGAAGGCGGCUAACUGGUCCGAUACUGACGCUGAGGUGCGAAAGCGUGGGGAGCAAACAGG
This 256-nucleotide ribosomal RNA is filed under the name uncultured bacterium. RNAcentral describes it as "partial 16S ribosomal RNA". It matches the Rfam family "Bacterial small subunit ribosomal RNA", at positions 521 to 776 of the family's 1533-position model. The record is from RNAcentral.